This 1875-nucleotide unclassified non-coding RNA is filed under the name Zea mays. RNAcentral's name for it is "misc RNA Zm00001eb331640". Lineage: Eukaryota; Viridiplantae; Streptophyta; Magnoliopsida; Poales; Poaceae. The record is from RNAcentral.
CUCUCCCUCUCCCCCUCACACCUCCACCAGCCUCUCGCCGGAAUCCACUCCGGACCCGUCGACCAACUCUUCGGCCCCCACCCCCUCGGAGAUUGCCCCCAGUCAGGCCAGUCGCCCGAUCCCCCAGGAGGCAGGACGUUCUAAGUCCCAGAGAUGGUGUGAUGACGUUAUUGAUGGUGACUCAUCGGGAGGAUCCUCCUCUGCUUAUCAUUCCUAUAAAGAAGCUCUCCUUCAACCUUCUGGUCAUGGUGGUAACGCCCCUGCUCCCCCUAUUCCCCACUUGAAGACGAAAGCUGGUGACCAGUCAGAGGUGCAAGGGUCUUCUGCUGAAAGUCGACGUCGAAAGGAGGAUGGCUGGCAGGUGGUUGAGCAUAGGAGGCGCCACCUUCCUCGUCGAGGAUCCAUAGUGGAUCUCCGAGGGAAGUGCUACAAGUGCCUUUCUACCUCCCACCUGGUAGCUUCCUGCCGACGUCCUACGAGGUGCUAUCGCUGCUUCAAGUUUGGCCAUCAAGCGGCAAGGUGCCCCUUGCCGGAAGCUGGGCGAAAGACAGUGUGGCAGCGGCUGGGCUCUGGUGGAGAUCGUACUCCGGUGUGGCUGCGUUUGUCUGGAGUGGACAAUUCUGGCCCAACGGUGAUGGAUCGUCCAGUCAUUCAGCGCAAGGCCCCAGUCUGGCGAAGGCUUUCCCCUCCAGUGAACUCCCCAUUAGUGGAAAAAGAAGCACAGGGUGGCAUGCUUCUGCCUGUUGGACGUAUGAAGAAGAAGAGAAGACGUUCUAAACGCGGGAAAGGCAGCUCGGGACUGCAGUCGGGCCCAAGUCAGCCGCAUCCCAAUCCCCCUGUUGCUGUCCAGAGCGCCUUGCCGCGGAAACCUUCCUGCGUAUUGGAGUUUUCCACUGAUUUGGCAAGAAAGGAAGCUGCUCUUCGGAGAGCCUUGUUUGUUUCGGUGGUUGGCACCAGGCCGAUGGUUCGCGGGGAUGAGGUGAUUGAGGAAUUGGCGCGAAGUUUCAGCAUCAACCCUGAUGAUAUGUCUAUCCAGCAGGCCACGCCGGAAGAUUUCCUACUAUUCCUGCCUGAUGAACACACAGCGACCCAAAUUCUUAACGAAGGACGACCUUUCAGAGGCCCUGGAUUUUCUCUCAAUUUUAAAAGAUGGACAAGAUUCUCUCAUGCCUCGACGACGUCUAUGGCGGCACUGGUUGAUAUUGAGAUUCGAGGAAUUCCAGCUCAUGCUUGGGAUAUCUCCACGGCAAAAAUGUUACUACAGGAUUCGUGCUGGGUUUUGGAAUUGUUAAGGGAUUCAGGAACAGCAUUUCUGCUACGCGCCUGGUGUUUUGACCCAAAAUAUCUGCAUUCAGAAAUGGAACUUCAUAUCGUCGAGCCGGGCAGUGAUGAGCAGAAGAAACGAUGUUUGACAUACAACAUUUCCAUGACAGUGUCAUCGGUGCCCUUUCAGAUGACCAAUAGCACUGAAACUCUAUCCCCUUCCUCUGACGAUGGUCAGUUUGAUGAAGGAAAUGACAGUGAUCCAGCUGACUCCCAGCAGCGCCGCCUUCCACCUCAGCCACCUAGGGAAUCUGUUCACCUUCGGAUAGGCGCCCAGUUUGUGUCUGGAAGGAGUAGGGCGCUGUGUUCGGUUGAGGAAGCUGAAAGGAUGGGCUUAGGCGCCUCUUCGGGACUUAAUGCACAACAUUCAAUGCGGCCCCUUGAAGAUUGCCCGACCUGGGGAGAUGAGAUGGGAAUGCAGCUGGUCUGUGGCGCCUCGGGUCCUUCCAGGCAGAUAUGUGGCGCCUUGGGUCCUUCCAGGCGGAUAUGCGGCCAGCCGUCCAUUGAUGCUUGCGUUGCCCAAUUAAAUAACGCACAGCUCGAUGCUCGGGC